AGUGUAUGUUCUUGCCAAUUUUCUAGGCGCAGAACUCAGGCCUGCUUUUAGGCCUAGCGGGGGACAGUUGCAAAGAACAGAACGUUACAGCCCUCCGUGUAAUUUGCUUUUCUACAGUAGACAGACUAGGACAUACCGCGCAGGCUCAGUGUGGCGUCUGAGUUUGAACUCCAGUUACCCCUUUGCAAAGCGAGAGGCGACAAAAGGAGCCCACACAUUCCAAGGGCUGGGCAGUUCGCAUGUCCAUAUGAAUCACUAAAAUUCUUCUCACCAGAUGCUGAACACUGUGAUGUCAUUGGAUGGGAAUUACUUCACGUCAACAUGCGGAAAGACAGCCCUGCUGUGUUUGUGAGUGCUCCUCCUCAUUCUGUUGAAUGGUGGUGCCCUGGACAUCUGCGUCAAAGCCCUGACCUGACAGUACCACUGGCUCAACAUGCAUGACACUUCACAGCUGAAUGUUUGAUCUGACUUCAUAGAAAAACACUGGUGUAUGUCUGAGUGGUCAUUAAGUAACAGCACAAAAUUCCAUAGUAUGUGAUCUGUAAUGCCUGAUUCACACAUGCGAGCCGACCCUUGGGCCUGGCUCACAGCCGGUAACUGCAGCAUCAGGAUGAAGCAAAUUGAUUUGUUCCCCAUCAUUUUGCUAAUUGUUGACUAGCUGGCCCCUGAGAAUCUGAUUUUUGUAAUGUUGUCUUUCUGUAUCAGCAGGGAUAUUGCUGAGAGCUCCAUAACGCACAUUUGUACAUACUAAUUUCUAGGUAUCGAUUCUUCUGGGCAAACUAAAAUGCCAGGUGACUGGAUCUCUCCAGCAAUAUGUUUUGCAGUGUAUCCAGCAGCUUCUCAACCAAAGUAAAAACUCUCUUUUGUUAGGUUAAAAAAAGGGGGGAAGGAAAGGAGCAGUAGAUCCAAGGUCUGAAAUAAAAGACCUGGGACUCAGCACACAACCCACCCACCCCACACACACCUCAAAUGUUAUCAAAUGGGGUCCUGUGAAAGGUUUAAGUUAUUUUCUCCAUUUUGGUUUCCUUUCUUUUCCUUUCGAGAAGAGCUGAACCCUGAUUAGCAGAUGAACCAGUCAUUCGAUAAUGUUUAAUUAAUUCCAAGCCACUCCAAAGUGUGUCAUUAUGUGUUAAUGUUCUGAUGGUAAUUUUCAGAAAUACUAGUUUGCACAGCUGCUAUCAAGAGGAAUGACAUAUCAGAACAGAAACACUGUGGGGUUCUUUGCCUAUGUGGAAAACUGGUAUGACAUUGUAAUCAUUCCAGUGUUAACAGGUCACACUUGCUCCCCUUUUGCUUGAUCCCGGGACUUCUGUGGUUAGCAACCCUUGCUGCUCAUUUAAGUGAUGAUUCCCAGAGCAUUUUGAAAGAUCUUCCAGAAGACACAGUUCUGCUACAAAUGGAGGGCAAAAAGGGAAUGCCACAUCGUGUCCAUGUAACCAAUAUACACUAUCCCCUGGAGAAAGUAUGUCAAAACAUACUUGAAGCCAGUUAUU
This is a long non-coding RNA of Rhineura floridana, 1493 nucleotides long. RefSeq lists it as uncharacterized. The record is from RefSeq and is a predicted model, not a curated record. The transcript has 3 exons. NCBI's taxonomy places the organism in Eukaryota, Metazoa, Chordata, Lepidosauria, Squamata, Rhineuridae.